RNAcentral lists this ribosomal RNA (636 nucleotides) under Triticum aestivum (bread wheat). Its description in RNAcentral is "partial small subunit ribosomal RNA". Lineage: Eukaryota; Viridiplantae; Streptophyta; Magnoliopsida; Poales; Poaceae. The record is from RNAcentral.
AUGGGCCGCAAAGGCAAACACGACCGCGAGGCUGGUUCCUCGUCUGAACGCCGCCGCGAGCCCGCGUCGCCAUCGCCACCACGCCGGGCCCCCGCGCCGCCCGCCUUCUCUAUCGCGCCCACGUCCGCCAGUGAGCACGACCGGCAUUACAUCCGUGCGUCGGUGUGCCGCCGUUAUUGGGAGACGAGGACGCCGCUCCCCUGGAGCGACGUCCAUCUCCCUAAUAACUGUCAUCUCUCCGCCGACCGGGUCCCGAUCCCGCCGGUCCCGACGAGCGGCCGUGCGCGCGACACGGAGAUCGAGCGUCGCCGCCGCCUCCUCCCCGACGACCUCUUCUAUGACCCCAGGUACGCUCCCGACUCCGGGCUCUGGGACACCUGGUUUCAUGACGAGCACGACACCAGGCGCGCGUCGUUAUUCGCCGGCACCUCAACGGGGCCGCGGCGGCCACGACAGGAGCGCGCAGCGCCUGCUCCCCAGGAGCGCGGGCGUAGGCGGGUGCGCGGUGUCAAGCCCAUGCCGUCGCCUUCCCCGUCUCCGUCACCACCUCCCCCUCCUCGCAUGAUAGCGGAGGAGGAGGCCCGUCUCCUGCAGCAUGUCAUGGACGACUCCAUGAACACGCAUGACGAGCGGUAG